RNAcentral lists this ribosomal RNA (513 nucleotides) under uncultured bacterium. RNAcentral describes it as "partial 16S ribosomal RNA". It matches the Rfam family "Bacterial small subunit ribosomal RNA", at positions 28 to 523 of the family's 1533-position model. The record is from RNAcentral.
GACGAACGCUGGCGGCGUGCCUAAUACAUGCAAGUCGAGCGAACAGACGAGGAGCUUGCUCCUCUGACGUUAGCGGCGGACGGGUGAGUAACACGUGGAUAACCUACCUAUAAGGCUGGGAUAACUUCGGGAAACCGGAGCUAAUACCGGAUAAUAUAUUGAACCGCAUGGUUCAAUAGUGAAAGACGGUUUUGCUGUCACUUAUAGAUGGAUCCGCGCCGCAUUAGCUAGUUGGUAAGGUAACGGCUUACCAAGGCAACGAUGCGUAGCCGACCUGAGAGGGUGAUCGGCCACACUGGAACUGAGACACGGUCCAGACUCCUACGGGAGGCAGUAGUAGGGAAUCUCCCGCAAUGGGCGAAAGCCUGACGGAGCAACGCCGCGUGAGUGAUGAAGGUCUUCGGAUCGUAAAACUCUGUUAUUAGGGACGAACAAAUGUGUAAGUAACUAUGCACGUCUUGACGGUACCUAAUCAGAAAGCCACGGCUAACUACGUGCCAGCAGCCGCGGUAA